This 346-nucleotide ribosomal RNA is filed under the name uncultured fungus. RNAcentral's name for it is "SSU rRNA". It matches the Rfam family "Eukaryotic small subunit ribosomal RNA", at positions 20 to 370 of the family's 1831-position model. The record is from RNAcentral. Lineage: Eukaryota; Fungi.
GUAGUCAUAUGCUUGUCUCAAAGAUUAAGCCAUGCAUGUCUAAGUAUAAGCAAUUAUGCCGCGAAACUGCGAAUGGCUCAUUAUAUAAGUUAUCGUUUAUUUGAUAGCACAUUACUACUUGGAUAACCGUGGUAAUUCUAGAGCUAAUACAUGCUAAAAAUCCCGACUUCGGAAGGGAUGUAUUUAUUAGAUUAAAAGCCAACGCCCUUCGGGGCUCUGUGGUGAUUCAUAAUAACUGGUCGAAUCGCAUGGCCUUGCGCCGGCGAUGGUUCAUUCAAAUUUCUUCCCUAUCAACUUUCGAUGCGAGGGUCUUGUCCUCGCAUGGUUGCAACGGGUAACGGGGAAU